RNAcentral lists this ribosomal RNA (447 nucleotides) under uncultured bacterium. Its description in RNAcentral is "partial 16S ribosomal RNA". It matches the Rfam family "Bacterial small subunit ribosomal RNA", at positions 330 to 794 of the family's 1533-position model. The record is from RNAcentral.
CCCAGACUCCUACGGGAGGCAGCAGUGGGGGAUAUUGCACAAUGGGGGGAACCCUGAUGCAGCGACGCCGCGUGGGUGAAGGAGCGUUUCGGCGCGUAAAGCCCUAUCGGCAGGGAAGAAGGAGGACGGUACCUGACUAAGAAGCCCCGGCUAACUACGUGCCAGCAGCCGCGGUAAUACGGAGGAUGCGAGCGUUAUCCGGAUUUAUUGGGUUUAAAGGGUGCGUAGGCGGGAUGCCAAGUCAGCGGUAAAAAUGCGGUGCUCAACGCCGUCGAGCCGUUGAAACUGGCGUUCUUGAGUGGGCGAGAAGUAUGCGGAAUGCGUGGUGUAGCGGUGAAAUGCAUAGAUAUCACGCAGAACUCCGAUUGCGAAGGCAGCAUACCGGCGCCCUACUGACGCUGAGGCACGAAAGCGUGGGUAUCGAACAGGAUUAGAUACCCCAGUAAA